AUAGUAACUGAUUUAAGAGAUAACACAACCUUUUGGGUUAUACAUAAUAUGGCGGCUCUUGAUAUGGAUAAUAGUAAUGAGUUGUGGGGUAAGAAUAGAAGGUUGUGUAAGCCUUAGCCCAAUCAAUUUGCUCAAUUGUGGGUUGAGAUUCUUCUUUCUUUGCGACUUCUUUCUUUGCAGCUUCUUUCUCUUGUCCAACACUAAUAAUAUUAGCACAUGGCCAAACCUUUCUUACUUUUUUACAAAUCUUAAUUGGAUCUGCAGUUCCAAUCACUGUGAUUUUGUUUUCUUCUGCUGCCAUUGCUACAACACCUGGAAGUUCAGUUUUUCCCAGAACUCACAUCAAUAUAUAUACUGAUAAAAAAACAUUUGAAGCUUUUUUAAACAAGUUAAUAUGUUUAUUAUUUGUAUUCUCUUCACAUUCAUGACAUUUUGUUAAUUUAAUUUUUUUCCCCGCUUUAUUGGUUUUUUAAGAUAUAACAGAAUUGUUUAUUACGUCAGAAAAAUUUAGAUGAAGAGUUUUAUAUAAUAUAGUUUGUGGAAGUUACCUAAAAGGCCAGAAAUAGCACCCAACACCUUUUUCUUUGUCUUUAAAUCCCUCAUUUCAACGUUUAAUUCGACCUUCUGCAGAUUUAAAAAGAGAAACCCGUUAAUAAAAACUCAAAGAAACUGAGAAAAUUAAAGAAGAAAAUGAAGAAGUGGUUAAGAGGAAAAUAAUUAAUUAACUCUUACCAUCAUUUUUAACUUGGAAAUCAGUUGUGGGUUUUGAAAGAAUUAGAAUAUAGGAGCCGUAAAAAACAAGUACAAGAAAAAGAGAUGAAAUUUAAUGAAGAGAUUUGGAGUUUAUGUUAAUUAUUGAGAUCAGAAGGGAAGUUGGAAGAUGGAAAGAGAGGUAGGGGAGAGUGUUUAAUUUAUAGAGAAUGGAAAAGGAUGGAGUUCGCUAGGAAUAAUUAGAAUAGUGUAUAGAAGAAAACGCUUUGAACUUUACAUUACAAAGCAAAAGUAAGUACUGUUUUCUUUUUUACCAUUUUGGGUAGGAAUUAUGAACGUUCGUUCUUAUAAUACCAAAGCGUGUGAAAAAAGAGAUUCAAAGUCCCUUUUUAUAUCUCAAAUAAGUAAGUAAAAUUGUUUGAUGUUGGGAUGUAUGGCUUUAAUGAGUGGUUUAAAAUAGGCAAAUUUGUCUUCUUCUUCUAUUAGGGUUAUUUAACAUUUUUGGGAGUUUUUACGUUUUAAUUUGAAGUUUUGCUUUCUCUAUUUUAUUUAUGGAUCCAACCGCGUUCAUGCAUCUGCCUUUUCUCUCUUCAUAUCUUUUCUAAAAAAGUGUACUAAAGAUAUGUAUAUGACUUUGACUUCAUCUUUUCUAUUAAAUAAAAAAUAAAAAACCAAGACUACCCAUUUCUUACUCUUCGGUUUGGUCUUGUUAUUUUAUAAUCAUUCAUCAUACUCUUAAUAAAUCUUAAAUUUAAAAAUUAAACCCUUCUUAAUUAAUUAUAUUAAUCGAAUUGGUAUUUUAACGCAUUAAAAAUAUAUUAACGAAGAGGACAAUUUUUGACAGUAAGAAAAUUAAAUAAUAUAUGGUACUAAAUCUUUCCUCAACUAGAGAGUUAAUUGUUGUUGUUGUUACUGGAGGAGAGAGUUUUGUGUUUACUUUUCUCCCAACUUGUUUUUUAAGAACAUUUUCUUCUUCUCUCUUUGGAAUGUCCAUUAUUGUGUGGAAUGUUCUUAUGUUAUGAUCAAUAAUUGGAAUUUGGAUGAAUCGAGGAAGCUAGGGAGUGACUUUCAUUUUACUUGCGAAACCUUUCAAUCUUCUCUAUCUAACUAUUAUUACUACUAUUCCAGAGAGAAACAACUAGGUUGAAGUAAUAUAUUUGGAUGCACUUAUUUCUAUGUUGUUGAUCUCAAAUACAAACUAGAAAAAAUAUAUAUUCUUUUAAGAAAAAACAAAAGAAACAAGUGUUCGUCAUAUUAUUACAUUCUAGUUCGUCGUGUACAAAAAUAUUCAGAAGAAUGAAGAAAAAGAAAAAGGAAAUGGUUGAGUCUUGAACUCUCAGAUGAGAAGAGAGAAGAACCAAAACAAUGAGAGAAGAAAAACAACACUAUUUUCAUAAAUGGUUUUCAAACAACACUGUUUUGAUAAAUAUUCUCUGAAAGUGCUAUAUUAAUAUAAUUCCCUCGUUUGGGGUGUACUUUAGUCUAUUUGGAAUUAUAGGAACACUGUUAUUUGAAAUGUUCUAAUAAGAGAGAAUUAGAAUAGUAAAUAAUUGUUUUUACUAAAUAAAAUCUGAACAAAAAAUGAGUAUGACCAAUCAAAAUCGAUGUUGUGAAGAUUUCCCUUUGCAUCUUCUUUCAUAACGUAUCUUUAUCAGAAAAAAAAAAGGUUAGUUUGCUAGUGAUGAGGUAAAAUGAUCCACGUUGGACAUAAAAAUGCGGUUUAUAUUGACUUUUUAAGUGUUUAAAAACACUUUUUUACAUCUAGAAACACCGAUUUAAACACCAAACACACUCAAACGCAAGUAGUUGACAUUAUUCUUUAAAUUUUGUUAUUUCUGUUUAUUUGGUUUGUGAACAGUAGCACUUUUGGAUCCAUUUAAAAAAGAUUUAGUUUUAGUUUUGACCUAAACAACCUAUGAUUUGUUUUGAUCAACCCAACACGAAAAAGUAGAUUUAACAGGUUAAAAUAAGAAAAAGUUAGGCUAAAAAUAUGUUUAAGGUAAGUAGACAAAUACAUUUUAUGUCAAGUCUUUUAGCCUGAAAAGUAACAACUCUUAUUUUAUUGACCUGGUCUCUUGUAGUUAUAUUUUUAGGACAUUUGUUAGUUCAUCCUCAUUGACCAAAACUUAAUAAGAAUUAAAGUUGAAGUUAGAUAAAUAAAACCUAGAAGUUAAAAUUUCGAAGUGAAAUUACCUCAGGAGUACUUUCAAGAAGAACCCCUUUUAAUUUACUUGUAACCCACACGAGAGUAACCUUUGUCAUCAACCUUGGCAUCGUUUACGAAGAAAAGAAAGAAGAAUAGAUUUAAAUUUCUUUAUAUAUAUAAUUUCACCCGGUUCCUUUUUCCAUAAUGUGUGUGGUCAGUUUCGUUGUUUGUCUACAUAACUUUAAUGAUUUAAAUUGAUUGUUGUGGAUAACAUGUAAUAUCAUUAUAUAAACAUAAUAAAUUGAGGAUCCAAUGCCUCUUUUAUCUAAUGCUUUUAGAGAGUUAUUGAUCAUUAAUGUUAUAUUAUUCUAAUCUGCACACACUGUUAUUGUAUAAUACUUUGAUAUUUGAUCAACUAUAUAUAUAUUAGCAUAUAACAACCCCUUGAUUAACCUAACUACCUAUAUAUAUAUUAUUAAUUAUUCAUUUAGUGGUUGUUUUAGUGAUAUUUUACUCAAAUUAACAACUUGAAUGUAAUAAUAUAGAGUAGAAUAAGCCUUACGUUUUCCCACACAACCAACACAUAUUUUAUUCAAAACUUUCAAAAAAGUGAUUUAUUUUCAUCACAUAUAUAUUAAUAAUCCAUGUAUCCUCUGUUAAUAUUCAUUAACUUAAACAAAAAGCUUACUAUAUACUUAGCUUCCACAUUGGCCACACCCCACGUACUUCAAAAAAAAAGAAAGAAUUAUAGCAUUCACCUCUCUAGCUAAUAUAUAUAGAAAAAUCUUCGGAGAUCAGGUCACUACAAUGUGAAUAUAACAGAUUUACACCAUUAGAUCACGUUGGAUUCAGAUGGAUAUGUGUGUCUUCUAAUAACCACUACUUAUAUCCUAUAGAACAUCAAAGUACGGAUACUCUCUCGCCACAUUAUUCAAAUUAUCAGUAUAUGUCUCAACCUCUAGAGUAACUGAUUUAAGAGAGAACACAACCUUUUGGGUUAUACAUAAUAUGGUUCUUGAUAUGGAUAAUAGUAAUGAGUUGUGGGGUAAGAAUAGAAGGUUGUGUAAGCCUUAUCCCAGUCAAUUUGCUCAAUUUUGGGUUGAGAUUCUUCUUUCUUUGCAUCUUCUUUCUCUUGUCCAACACUAAUAAUAUUAGCACAUGGCCAAACCUUUCUUACUUUUUUAACAAUCUUAAUUG
Molecule: long non-coding RNA, 4054 nt
Filed under: Cucumis sativus (cucumber)
Lineage: Eukaryota; Viridiplantae; Streptophyta; Magnoliopsida; Cucurbitales; Cucurbitaceae
Description: long non-coding RNA (CSAT_LNC001762)
Source: RNAcentral